Exophiala oligosperma is the source of this 101-nucleotide transfer RNA. It matches the Rfam family "tRNA". Rfam says of the family: Transfer RNA (tRNA) molecules are approximately 80 nucleotides in length. Their secondary structure includes four short double-helical elements and three loops (D, anti-codon, and T loops). The record is from Rfam. NCBI's taxonomy places the organism in Eukaryota, Fungi, Ascomycota, Eurotiomycetes, Chaetothyriales, Herpotrichiellaceae.
GGUUUUGUAGUGUAGUGGUGAUCACUCCGGAUUUUGACCUUUGUUCUUGACCAAGACAACACAACUUUCCGGCAACCCCGGUUCGAACCCGGGCAAGACCU